AGAUUGAACGCUGGCGGCAGGCCUAACACAUGCAAGUCGAGCGGUAGAGAGGUGCUUGCAUCUCUUGAGAGCGGCGGACGGGUGAGUAAUGCCUAGGAAUCUGCCUAGUGGUGGGGGAUAACGUUCGGAAACGGACGCUAAUACCGCAUACGUCCUACGGGAGAAAGCGGGGGACCUUCGGGCCUCGCGCCAUUAGAUGAGCCUAGGUCGGAUUAGCUAGUUGGUGAGGUAAUGGCUCACCAAGGCGACGAUCCGUAACUGGUCUGAGAGGAUGAUCAGUCACACUGGAACUGAGACACGGUCCAGACUCCUACGGAGGCAGCAGUGGGGAAUAUGGACAAUGGGCGAAAGCCUGAUCCAGCCAUGCCGCGUGUGUGAAGAAGGUCUUCGGAUUGUAAAAGC
This 402-nucleotide ribosomal RNA is filed under the name uncultured soil bacterium. Its description in RNAcentral is "bacterial SSU rRNA". It matches the Rfam family "Bacterial small subunit ribosomal RNA", at positions 26 to 431 of the family's 1533-position model. The record is from RNAcentral.